UGGGGAAUUUUGCACAAUGGGGGAAACCCUGAUGCAGCGACGCCGCGUGAUUUAGAAGGCCUUCGGGUUGUAAAAAUCUUUUUUACGGGAUGAAAAUGACAGUACCGUAAGAAUAAGGUCCGGCUAAAUACGUGCCAGCAGCCGCGGUAAUACGUAUGGACCGAGCGUUGUCCGGAAUCAUUGGGCGUAAAGGGUACGUAGGCGACCUAGUAAGUUAGAAGUGAAAUAAUAUAGCUCAACUAUAUAAAGCUUUUAAAACUGCUAGGCUUGAGAGAUGGAAGGGAAAGUGGAAUUCCUAGUGUAGCGGUGAAAUGCGCAGAUAUUAGGAAGAAUACCGGUGGCGAAGGCGACUUUCUGGUCAUCAUCUGACGCUGAGGUACGAAAGCGUGGGUAGCAAACAGG
Molecule: ribosomal RNA, 402 nt
Filed under: bacterium
Lineage: Bacteria
Description: partial 16S ribosomal RNA
Rfam family: Bacterial small subunit ribosomal RNA
Source: RNAcentral